CCUACGGGAGGCAGCAGUAGGGAAUCUUCGGCAAUGGGGGCAACCCUGACCGAGCACGCCGCGUGAGUGAAGAAGGUUUUCGGAUCGUAAAGCUCUGUUGUAAGUCAAGAACGGGUGUGAGAGUGGAAAGUUCACACUGUGACGGUAGCUUACCAGAAAGGGACGGCUAACUACGUGCCAGCAGCCGCGGUAAUACGUAGGUCCCGAGCGUUGUCCGGAUUUAUUGGGCGUAAAGCGAGCGCAGGCGGUUUGAUAAGUCUGAAGUUAAAGGCUGUGGCUCAACCAUAGUUCGCUUUGGAAACUGUCAAACUUGAGUGCAGAAGGGGAGAGUGGAAUUCCAUGUGUAGCGGUGAAAUGCGUAGAUAUAUGGAGGAACACCGGUGGCGAAAGCGGCUCUCUGGUCUGUAACUGACGCUGAGGCUCGAAAGCGUGGGGAGCGAACAGGAUUAGAUACCCUGGUAGUC
Molecule: ribosomal RNA, 464 nt
Filed under: Streptococcus thermophilus
Lineage: Bacteria; Bacillati; Bacillota; Bacilli; Lactobacillales; Streptococcaceae
Description: bacterial SSU rRNA
Rfam family: Bacterial small subunit ribosomal RNA
Source: RNAcentral